AACGAACGCUGGCGGCAUGCCUAACACAUGCAAGUCGAACGAGACCUUCGGGUCUAGUGGCGCACGGGUGCGUAACGCGUGGGAACCUGCCCUUAGGUUCGGAAUAACUCCCCGAAAGGGGUGCUAAUACCGGAUAAGGUCUUCGGACCAAAGAUUUAUCGCCUUUGGAUGGGCCCGCGUUGGAUUAGCUAGUUGGGAGGGUAAAAGCCUACCAAGGCGACGAUCCAUAGCUGGUCUGAGAGGAUGAUCAGCCACACUGGGACUGAGACACGGCCCAGACUCCUGCGGGAGGCAGCAGUGGGGACUAUUGGACAAUGGGCGAAAGCCUGAUCCAGCACUGCCGCGUGAGUGAUGAAGGCCUUAGGGUUGUAAAGCUCCUUUACCCGGGAUGAUAAUGACGGUACCGGGAGAAUAGGCUCCGGCUAACUCCGU
RNAcentral lists this ribosomal RNA (432 nucleotides) under uncultured bacterium. Its description in RNAcentral is "partial 16S ribosomal RNA". It matches the Rfam family "Bacterial small subunit ribosomal RNA", at positions 29 to 506 of the family's 1533-position model. The record is from RNAcentral.